GCUGCUCUGCCUAUAGGGUAGCCAUUCUUUAUUGCUUUACUUUCUUAAAACUUGCUUUCACUUUCCUCUAUGAGCUCACCCCAAAUUCUUUCUUGUGCAAGAUCCAAGAACCCUGUCUUGGGGUCUGGAUCAGGACCCCUUUCUGGUAACAAUACCAAGAGGGAAUACUAAUUAAAAAACUAGUUUAAAGUUAAGAUAACUUACACUAAAAUAAACCAAAGAUUCUUGUAUACUGGUAAUAGCACUGUGUGGAAUUACAAAUCCAUACCCAAACAAUCUACCUGACAAAGUAAGAUCAUAUAAUUUAACCAGAUUAAGUAUUUUUGCAUCUACUAUGCUGAGCAACCAGAACUAGGUAGGCACUAUUGCUAUGAAUUUUCCUAGUAUUUGUUUAAAAAAAUUCACUAUAGACCUGGUAAACAAUCAAUUACAAUCCCAUCUGAUAUAGUUGUGACCCUGUCCUCAGUUUGUAAUGCUUCUAGCUAACAUUUACAGUGAACCCAUUUUGUGAUAGGAACUGAUCUAAGUACUGUCAGGCCUCUGAGCCCAAGUCAAACCAUCGCAUCCCCUGUGACUUGCAUGUAUACGCCCAGAUGGCCUGAAGUAACUGAAGAAUCACAAAAGAAGUGAAAAGGCCCUGCCCCGCCUUAACUGAUGACAUUCCACCAUUGUGAUUUGUUCCUGCCCCACCUUAACUGAGUGAUUAACCCUGUGAAUUUCCUUCUCCUGGCUCAGAAGCUCCCCCACUGAGCACCUUGUGACCCCCGCCCCUGCCCACCAGAGAACAACCCCCUUUGACUGUAAUUUUCCAUUACCUUCCCAAAUCCUAUAUAAGACGGCCCCACCCUUAUCUCCCUUCGCUGACUCUCUUUUCGGACUCAGCCCACCUGCACCCAGGUGAAAUAAACAGCUUUAUUGCUCACACAAAGCCUGUUUGGUGGUCUCUUCACACAGAGGCGCAUGAAAUUUGGUGCCGUGACUCGGAUCAGGGGACCUCCCUUGGGAGAUCAAUCCCCCAUCCUCCUGCUCUUUGCUCUAUGAGAAAGAUCCACCUACGACCUCAGGUCCUCAGACCAACCAGCCCAAGAAACAUCUCACCAAUUUCAAAUCUGGUAAGCGGCCUCUUUUUACUCUCUUCUCCAACCUCCCUCACUAUCCCUCAACUUCUUUCUCCUUUCAAUCUUGGCACCACACUUCAAUCUCUCCCUUCUCUUAAUUUCAAUUCCUUUCAUUUUCCGGUAGAGACAAAGGAGACAUGUUUUAUCCGUGGACCCAAAACUCCGGCGCCGGUCACGGACUGGGAAAGCAGCCUUCCUUUGGUGUUUAAUCAUUGCAGGGAUGUCUCUCUGAUUAUUCACCCACGUUUCAAAGGUAUCAGACCACGCAGGGACGCCUGCCUUGGUCCUUCACCCUUAGCGGCAAGUCCCACUUUUCUGGGGAAGGGGCAAGUACCCCAACCCCUUUUCUCCUUGUCUCUACCCCUUCUCUGCUUUUCUGGGGAAGGGGCAAGUACCCCAACCCCUUCUCUCCUUGUCUCUACCCCUUCUCUGCUUUUCUGGGGAAGGGGCAAGUACUCCAACCCCUUCUCUCCUUGUCUCUACCCCUUCUCUGCUUUUCUGGGGAAGGGGCAAGUACCCCAACCCCUUCUCUCCUUGUCUCUACCCCUUCUCUGCUUUUCUGGGAGAGGGGCAAGUACCCCUCAAACCCUUCUCCUUCACCCUUAGUGGCAAGUCCCGCUUUCCUGGGGCAGGGUCAAGUACCCCUCAACCCCUUCUCCUUCACCUUUAGCGGCAAGUCCCGCUUUUCUGGGGGAGGAGCAAGUACCCCUCAACCCCUUCUCCUUCACCCUUAGUGACAAGUCCUGCUUUUCUAGGGGGCAAGAACCCCCAAUACCUUAUUUCCACACCCCAACCUCUUAUCUCUGUGCCCCUAUCCCUUAUUUCCGUGCCCCAAACCCCCUUCCCGCUUUUCAGGAGGGUAAGAACCCCUGAACCCCUUCCCUCCAUGUCUCUACGCUCUCUUUUCUCUGGGUUUGCCUCCUUCACUAUGGGCAACCUUCCACCCUCCAUUUCUCCUUCUUCUCCCUUAGCCUGUGUUCUCAAAAACUUAAAACCUCUUCAACUCACACCUGACCUAAAACCUAAAUGCUUAUUUUCUUCUGCAAUGCCGCUUGACCCCAAUACAAACUCGACAGUAGUUCCAAAUAGCCAGAAAAUGGCACUUUGAAUUUUUCCAUCCUGCAAGAUCUAAAUAAUUCUUGUCGUAAAAUAGGCAAAUGGUCUGAGGUGCCUGACGUCCAGGCAUUCUUUUACACAUCAGUCCCUUCCUAGUCUCUGUGCCCAGUGCAACUCGUCCCAAAUCUUCCUUCUUUCCCUCCCACCUGUCCCCUCAGUACCAACCCCAAGCGUCGCUUAGUCUUUCUAAUCUUCCAUUUCUACAGACCCAUCUGACCUCUCCCUUCCUCCCAAGGCUGCUCCUCUCCGGGCCGAGCUAGGUCCCAAUUCUUCCUCAGCCUCUGCUUCUCCACCCUAUAAUCUUUUUAUCACCUCCCCUCCUCACACCUGGUCCGGCUUACAGUUUCGUUCCGUGACUAGCCCUCCCCGACCUGCCCAGCAACUUACUCUUAAAAAGGUGGCUGGAGCCAAAGGCAUAGUCAAGGUUAAUGCUCCUUUUUCUUUAUCCCAAAUCAGAAGCAUUUAGGCUCUUUUUCAUCAAAUAUAAAAAUCCAGCCCAGUUCAUGGCUCGUUUGGCAGCAACCCUGAGAUGCUUUACAGCCCUAGACCCUAAAAGGUCUAAAGGCCGUCUUAUUCUCAAUAUACAUUUUAUUACCCAAUCUGCUCCCGACAUUAAAUAAAACUCCGAAAAUUGGAAUCUGGCCCUCAAUCCCCACAACAGGACUUAAUUAACCUCAUCUUCAAGGUGUACAAUAACAGAAAAAAGUUGCAAUUCCUUGCCUCCACUCUGAGACAAACCCCAGCCACAUCUCCAGCACACAAGAACUUCCAAAUGCCUGAACCACAGCAGCCAGGCUUUCCUCCAGAACCUCCUCCCCCAGGAGCUUGCUACAUGUGCCGGAAAUCUGGCCACUGGGCCAAGGAAUGCCCGCAGCCCAGGAUUCCUCCUAAGCCGCGUCCCAUCUGUGUGGGACCCCACUGAAAAUCGGACUGUUCAUCUCACCUGGCAGCCACUCCCAGAGCCCCUGGACCUCUGGCCCAAGGCUCUCUGACUGACUCCUUCCCAGAUCUUCUUGGCUUAGCGGCUGAAGACUGACACUACCCGAUCGCCUCGGAAGCCCCCUGGACCAUCACGGAUGCCGAGCUUCCGGUAACUCUCAGAGUGGAAGGUAAGCCCGUCCCCUUCUUAAUCAAUAUGGAGGCUACCCACUCCACAUUACCUUCUUUUCAAGGGCCUGUUUCCCUUGCCUCCAUAACUGUUGUGGGUAUUGACGGCCAGGCUUCUAAACCUCUUAAAACUCCCCAACCCUCGUGCCAACUUAGACAAUACUCUUUUAAGCACUCCUUUUAGUUAUCCCCACCUGCCCAGUUCCCUUAUUAGGCUGAGACACUUUAACUAAAUUAUCUGCUUCCCUGACUAUUCCUGCACUACAGCUGUAUCUCAUUGCCGCCCUUCUUCCCAAUCCAAAGCCUCCUUUGCGUCCUCCUCUUGUAUCCCCCACCUUAACCCACAAGUAUAAGAUACCUCUACUCCCUCCUUGGCGACCGAUCAUGCACCCCUUACCAUCUCAUUAAAACCUAAUCACCCUUACCCCACUCAACGCCAAUAUCCCAUCCCGCAGCACGCUUUAAAAAGAUUAAAUCCUGUUAUCACUCACCUGCUACAGCAUGGCCUUUUAAGGCCUAUAAAAUCUCCUUACAAUUCCCCCAUUUUACCUGUCCUAAAACCAGACAAGCCUUACAAGUUAGUUCAGGAUCUUCACCUUAUCAACCAAAUUGUUUUGCCUAUCCACCCUGUGGUGCCAAAACCAUAUACUCUCCUAUCCUCAAUACCUGCCUCUACAACCCAUUAUUCUGUUCUAGAUCUCAAACAUGCUUUCUUUACUAUUCCUUUGCAUCCUUAAUCCCAGCCACUCUUUGCUUUCACUUGGACUGACCCUGACACCCAUCAAGCUCAGCAAAUUACCUAGGCUGUACUGCCGCAAAGCUUCACAGGCAGCCCCCAUUACUUCAAUCAAGCCCAAAUUUCUUCCUCAUUUGUUACCUAUCUCGGCAUAAUUCUCAUAAAAACACACGUGCUCUCCCUGCCAAUCGUGACCGACUGAUCUCUCAAACCCCAGAACCUUCUACAAAACAACAACUCCUUUCCUUCCUAGGCAUGGUUAGUGCGGUCAGAAUUCUUACACAAGAGCCAGGACUGCACCCUGUAGGCUUUCUGUCCAAACAACUUGACCUUACUGUUUUAGCCUAGCCCUCAUGUCUGCGUGCAGCGGCUGCCACUGCUUUAAUACUGUUAGAGGCCCUAAAAAUCACAAACUAUGCUCAACUCACUCUCUACAUUUCUCAUAACUUCCAAAAUCUAUUUUCUUCCUCAUACCUGAUGCAUAUACUUUCUUCUCCCCGGCUCCUUCAGCUGUACUCACUCUUUAGGUCUCACAAUUACCAUUGUUCCUGGCCCGGACUUCAAUCUGGCCUCUCACAUUAUUCCUGAUAUCACACCUGACCCCCAUGACUGUAUCUCUCUGAUCCACCUGAUAUUCACCCCAUUUCCCCAUAUUUCCUUCUUUCCUGUUCCUCACCCUGAUCACGCUUGAUUUAUUGAUGGCAGUUCCACCAGGCCUAAUCGCCACACACCAGCAAAGUCAGGCUAUGCUAUAGUACAAGCCACUAGCCCGCCUCUCAGAACCUCUCAUUUCCUUUCCAUCCUGGAAAUCUAUCCUCAAGGAAAUAACUUCUCAGUGUUCCAUCUGCUAUUCUACUACUCCUCAGGGAUUAUUCAGGCCCCCUCCCUUCCCUACACAUCAAGCUCGAGGAUUUGCCCCCACCCAGGACUGGCAAAUUAGCUUUACUCAACAUGCCCGAGUCAGGAAACUAAAAUACCUCUUAGUCUAAAUAGACACUUUCAACUGAAUAAGUAAAGACCUUUCCUACAGGGUCUGAGAAGGCCACCGCAGUCAUUUCUUCCCAUCUGUCAGACAUAAUUCCUCAGUUUAGCCUUCCCACCUCUAUACAGUCUGAUAACAGACCAGCCUUUAUUAGUCAAAUCAGCCAAGCAGUUUUUCAGGCUCUUAGUAUUCAGUGAAACCUUUAUAUCCCUUACAGUCCUCCAUCUUCAAGAAAAGUAGAACGGACUAAAGGUCUUUUAAAAACACACCUCACCAAGCUCAACCACCAACUUAAAAAGGACUGGACAAUGCUUUUAUCACUUUCGCUUCUCAGAAUUCAGGCCUGUCCUCAGAAUGUUACACAAGGUACAGUCCAUUUAAGCUCCUGUAUAGACGCUCCUUUUUAUUAGGCCCCAGUCUCAUUCGACACCAGACCAACUUAGACUGUGCCCCCAAAAUCUUGUCAUCCCUACUAUCUUUUGUCUAGUCAUACUCCUAUUCACCAUUCUCAACUACUCAUACACACCCUGCUCUUGUUUACACUGCCGGUUUACACUGUUUCUCCAAGCCAUCACAGCUGAUGUCUCUUGGUGCUAUCCCCAAACUGCCACUCUAAGCUCUUAAAGUAAAUAAAUAAUCUUUGCUGGCAGGACUAUGCUGAAUCUCCUUAGGCACUCUCUAAUCAGAUGUCCUAGGUCCUCCCAAUUCUUAGACCUUUUAUACCUGUUUUUCUCCUUCUGUUAUUCCAUUUAGUUUCUUAGUUCAUCCAAAACGGUAUCCAGGCCAUCACCAAUCAUUCUAUACGACAAAUGUUUCUUCUAACAACCCCACAAUAUCACCCCUUACCACAAGACCUCCCUUCAGCUUAAUCUCUCCCACUCUAGGUUCCCACGCCGCCCCUAAUCCCGCUUGAAGCAGCCCUGAGAAACAUCGCCCAUUCUCUCUCCAUACCACCCCCCAAAAUUUUCGCCGCCCCAACACUUCAACACUAUUUUGUUUUAUUUUUCUUAUUAAUAUAAGAAGGCAGGAAUGUCAGGCCUCUGAGCCCAAGCCAAGCCAUCGCAUCCCCUGUGACUUGCAUGUAUACGCUCAGAUGGCCUGAAGUAACUGAAGAAUCACAAAAGAAGUGAAAAGGCCCUGCCCCGCCUUAACUGAUGACAUUCCACCAUUGUGAUUUGUUCCUGCCCCACCUUAACUGAGUGAUUAACCCUGUGAAUUUCCUUCUCCUGGCUCAGAAGCUCCCCCACUGAGCACCUUGUGACCCCCGCCCCUGCCCACCAGAGAACAACCCCCUUUGACUAAUUUUCCAUUACCUUCCCAAAUCCUAUAAGAUGGCCCCACCCUUAUCUCCCUUCGCUGACUCUCUUUUCGGACUCAGCCCACCUGCACCCAGGUGAAAUAAAUAGCUUUAUUGCUCACACAAAGCCUGUUUGGUGGUCUCUUCACACGGAC
This 6511-nucleotide long non-coding RNA is filed under the name Homo sapiens (human). Its description in RNAcentral is "non-protein coding lnc-GADD45A-2:2". The record is from RNAcentral. Lineage: Eukaryota; Metazoa; Chordata; Mammalia; Primates; Hominidae.